Fundulus heteroclitus (mummichog) is the source of this 246-nucleotide long non-coding RNA. RefSeq lists it as uncharacterized. The record is from RefSeq and is a predicted model, not a curated record. NCBI's taxonomy places the organism in Eukaryota, Metazoa, Chordata, Actinopteri, Cyprinodontiformes, Fundulidae. The transcript is spliced from 3 exons.
GGCAGGAACUAUGGGAGGAAUCUGGCUUCUGGGUUUUUGUGUAGUCACAUUGUGGCUUAAAGCCUUGUCCCAAAAUGAGAUUCCUCUAAAGAAAAAAGUUGCUUUACUCCAGUCAAUGGAUUCCAGGUUGUUUGGAACUUCAAAAGAAGUGCAACUGGAAACCAAUGAAGUGGAAUUGGACGUGUCAAGCGACGCCUCCCACAACGUGUCAAGCGACGCCUCCCACAACGUGUCAAGCGACGCCUC